This 447-nucleotide ribosomal RNA is filed under the name Phalops ardea. RNAcentral's name for it is "partial 16S ribosomal RNA". The record is from RNAcentral. Lineage: Eukaryota; Metazoa; Arthropoda; Insecta; Coleoptera; Scarabaeidae.
CAUGUCUUUUUGAUUAUAAUUUAAAGUCUGACCUGCCCUAUGAUAAUUUUAUUAAAUGGCCGCGAUAAUUUGAUCGUGCAAAGGUAGCAUAAUAAUUAGUUUUUUAAUUGGGAACUGGUAUGAAAGGUCGAACGAGAAAAAGACUGUCUCAAUUUAAAUUUAAUUAGAAUUUUAUUUUUAAGUAAGAAAGCUUAAAUGUAUUUAAAAGACGAGAAGACCCUAUAGAGUUUUAUAUUUAAUUAAAUUUUUAAAAUUUUAGAAUUUUAUAUUUAGUUUUUUUAUUAAAUAUUUGGUUGGGGCGAUUAGAAAAUUAAAUGAACUUUUCUUCAUUUUUUACAUUGAUAUAUGAUUAAUUGAUCCAUUUUUAAUGAUUAAAAGAUUAAAUUACCUUAGGGAUAACAGCGUAAUUUUUUUUGAGAGUUCUUAUCGAAAAAAAAGUUUGCGACC